RNAcentral lists this ribosomal RNA (495 nucleotides) under uncultured bacterium. RNAcentral describes it as "partial 16S ribosomal RNA". It matches the Rfam family "Bacterial small subunit ribosomal RNA", at positions 28 to 507 of the family's 1533-position model. The record is from RNAcentral.
GACGAACGCUGGCGGCGUGCCUAAUACAUGCAAGUAGAACGCUGAAGGAGGAGCUUGCUUCUCUGGAUGAGUUGCGAACGGGUGAGUAACGCGUAGGUAACCUGCCUGGUAGCGGGGGAUAACUAUUGGAAACGAUAGCUAAUACCGCAUAAGAGUAGAUGUUGCAUGACAUUUGCUUAAAAGGUGCAAUUGCAUCACUACCAGAUGGACCUGCGUUGUAUUAGCUAGUUGGUGAGGUAACGGCUCACCAAGGCGACGAUACAUAGCCGACCUGAGAGGGUGAUCGGCCACACUGGGACUGAGACACGGCCCAGACUCCUACGGGAGGCAGCAGUAGGGAAUCUUCGGCAAUGGACGGAAGUCUGACCGAGCAACGCCGCGUGAGUGAAGAAGGUUUUCGGAUCGUAAAGCUCUGUUGUAAGGGAAGAACGAGUGUGAGAGUGGAAAGUUCACACUGUGACGGUAUCUUACCAGAAAGGGACGGCUAACUACGUG